RNAcentral lists this ribosomal RNA (1384 nucleotides) under uncultured bacterium. RNAcentral's name for it is "bacterial SSU rRNA". It matches the Rfam family "Bacterial small subunit ribosomal RNA", at positions 27 to 1402 of the family's 1533-position model. The record is from RNAcentral.
GAUUGAACGCUGGCGGUAUGCUUAACACAUGCAAGUCGAACGGAAACGAUACUAGCUUGCUAGUAGGCGUCGAGUGGCGGACGGAUGAGUAACGCGUAGGAAUCUGCCUGAUAGUGGGGGAUAGCCCGAAGAAAUUCGGAUUAAUACCGCAUAAUCUAUUCGUAGUAAAGUGGGGGACUUUCGAGCCUCACGCUAUCAGAUGAGCCUGCGUAAGAUUAGCUAGUUGGUAGGGUAAAAGCCUACCAAGGCGACGAUCUUUAGCUGGUCUGAGAGGAUGAUCAGCCACAUCGGGACUGAGACACGGCCCGAACUCCUACGGGAGGCAGCAGUGGGGAAUAUUGGACAAUGGGGGCAACCCUGAUCCAGCAAUACCGCGUGUGUGAAGAAGGCCUGAGGGUUGUAAAGCACUUUCAAUUGUGAAGAAAAGUUAGCGGUUAAUAACCGUUAGCCUUGACGUUAACUUUAGAAGAAGCACCGGCUAACUCCGUGCCAGCAGCCGCGGUAAUACGGAGGGUGCAAGCGUUAAUCGGAAUUACUGGGCGUAAAGCGUGCGUAGGCGGUUUAUUAAGUCAGAUGUGAAAGCCCCGGGCUUAACCUGGGAACUGCAUUUGAAACUGGUCAACUAGAGUAUGGUAGAGGAAAGUGGAAUUUCUGGUGUAGCGGUGAAAUGCGUAGAUAUCAGAAGGAACAUCAAUGGCGAAGGCAGCUUUCUGGACCAAUACUGACGCUGAGGUACGAAAGCGUGGGUAGCAAACAGGAUUAGAUACCCUGGUAGUCCACGCCGUAAACGAUGAUAACUAGCCGUUGGGGGGAUUUACCCUUUAGUGGCGAAGCUAACGCGUUAAGUUAUCCGCCUGGGGAGUACGGCCGCAAGGUUAAAACUCAAAGGAAUUGACGGGGACCCGCACAAGCGAUGGAGCAUGUGGUUUAAUUCGAUGCAACGCGAAGAACCUUACCUGGUCUUGACAUCCUGCGAACUUUCUAGAAAUAGAUUGGUGCCUUCGGGAACGCAGUGACAGGUGCUGCAUGGCUGUCGUCAGCUCGUGUCGUGAGAUGUUGGGUUAAGUCCCGUAACGAGCGCAACCCCUAUCCUUAUUUGCCAGCACAUCAUGGUGGGAACUAUAAGGAGACUGCCGGUGAUAAACCGGAGGAAGGCGGGGACGACGUCAAGUCAUCAUGGCCCUUACGACCAGGGCUACACACGUGCUACAAUGGGAAGGACAAAGAGCCGCGAAGCCGCGAGGUGUAGCUAAUCUCAUAAACCUUUUCGUAGUCCGGAUUGGAGUCUGCAACUCGACUCCAUGAAGUCGGAAUCGCUAGUAAUCGUAGAUCAGAAUGCUACGGUGAAUACGUUCCCGGGUCUUGUACACACCGCCCGUCAAGG